GCUGAAGGAGGAGCUUGCUUCUCCGGAUGAGUUGCGAACGGGUGAGUAACGCGUAGGUAACCUGCCUGGUAGCGGGGGAUAACUAUUGGAAACGAUAGCUAAUACCGCAUAAGAGUAGAUGUUGCAUGACAUUUGCUUAAAAGGUGCAGUUGCAUCACUACCAGAUGGACCUGCGUUGUAUUAGCUAGUUGGUGGGGUAACGGCUCACCAAGGCGACGAUACAUAGCCGACCUGAGAGGGUGAUCGGCCACACUGGGACUGAGACACGGCCCAGACUCCUACGGGAGGCAGCAGUAGGGAAUCUUCGGCAAUGGACGGAAGUCUGACCGAGCAACGCCGCGUGAGUGAAGAAGGUUUUCGGAUCGUAAAGCUCUGUUGUAAGAGAAGAACGAGUGUGAGAGUGGAAAGUUCACACUGUGACGGUAUCUUACCAGAAAGGGACGGCUAACUACGUGCCAGCAGCCGCGGUAAUACGUAGGUCCCGAGCGUUGUCCGGAUUUAUUGGGCGUAAAGCGAGCGCAGGCGGUUAGAUAAGUCUGAAGUUAAAGGCUGUGGCUUAACCAUAGUACGCUUUGGAAACUGUUUAACUUGAGUGCAAGAGGGGAGAGUGGAAUUCCAUGUGUAGCGGUGAAAUGCGUAGAUAUAUGGAGGAACACCGGUGGCG
This 664-nucleotide ribosomal RNA is filed under the name uncultured Bacilli bacterium. RNAcentral's name for it is "bacterial SSU rRNA". It matches the Rfam family "Bacterial small subunit ribosomal RNA", at positions 66 to 717 of the family's 1533-position model. Lineage: Bacteria; Bacillati; Bacillota; Bacilli. The record is from RNAcentral.